This 746-nucleotide ribosomal RNA is filed under the name uncultured bacterium. Its description in RNAcentral is "bacterial SSU rRNA". It matches the Rfam family "Bacterial small subunit ribosomal RNA", at positions 93 to 850 of the family's 1533-position model. The record is from RNAcentral.
GAGUGGCGCAAGGGUGAGUAACACGUGAACAACCUUCCCUCGUGAUGGGGAUAGCCCCGGGAAACUGGGAGUAAUACCGAAUGUGGCGUCUGUCCGCAUGGACGGAACGCUGAAGGCGCAAGCCGCUCGAGGAUGGGUUCGCGUCCGAUUAGCUAGUUGGUGAGGUAACGGCUCACCAAGGCGAUGAUCGGUAGGUGGUCUGAGAGGAUGGUCACCCACACUGGGACUGAGACACUGCCCAGACUCCUACGGGAGGCUGCAGUCGAGAAUCUUCCGCAAUGGGCGAAAGCCUGACGGAGCGAUGUCGCGUGAGGGAUGACGGCCUUCGGGUUGUAAACCUCUGUCGCCCGGGACGAAAUAAAUGACGGUACCGGGAGAGGAAGCUACGGCUAACUACGUGCCAGCAGCCGCGGUAAUACGUAGGUAGCGAGCGUUAUUCGGAUUUACUGGGCGUAAAGGGUCUGCAGGGGGUCUGCCAAGUCUGGCGUGAAAUUCCAAGGCUCAACCUUGGAACUGCGUUGGAUACUGGCGGACUAGAGUGCAUGAGGGGAGAACGGAAUACCUGGUGUAGCGGUGGAAUGCGCAGAUAUCAGGUGGAACACCGACGGCGAAGGCGGUUCUCUGGCGUGCAACUGACCCUGAGGGACGAAAGCGUGGGGAGCAAACAGGAUUAGAUACCCUGGUAGCCCACGCUGUAAACGGUGCAUACUCGAUGUGGGCGGAGCUUUGAUCCCGUCCGUGUCUGA